RNAcentral lists this non-coding RNA (21 nucleotides) under Arabidopsis thaliana (thale cress). Lineage: Eukaryota; Viridiplantae; Streptophyta; Magnoliopsida; Brassicales; Brassicaceae. The record is from RNAcentral.
CAUAGGUAGUUUGAACGGUGU